RNAcentral lists this ribosomal RNA (284 nucleotides) under uncultured prokaryote. Its description in RNAcentral is "partial 16S ribosomal RNA". It matches the Rfam family "Bacterial small subunit ribosomal RNA", at positions 524 to 819 of the family's 1533-position model. The record is from RNAcentral.
UACGUAGGGGCUAGCGUUAUCCGGAAUUACUGGGCGUAAAGGGUGCGUAGGUGGUUUCUUAAGUCAAAGGUGAAAGGCUACGGCUCAACCGUAGUAAGCCUUUGAAACUGGGAAACUUGAGUGCAGGAGAGGAGAGUGGAAUUCCUAGUGUAGCGGUGAAAUGCGUAGAUAUUAGGAGGAACACCAGUUGCGAAGGCGGCUCUCUGGACUGUAACUGACACUGAGGCACGAAAGCGUGGGGAGCAAACAGGAUUAGAUACCCCCGUAGUCCCUGAGCGGGCUGG